Molecule: ribosomal RNA, 497 nt
Filed under: uncultured bacterium
Lineage: Bacteria
Description: partial 16S ribosomal RNA
Rfam family: Bacterial small subunit ribosomal RNA
Source: RNAcentral
GAUGAACGCUGGCGGCGUGCCUAAUACAUGCAAGUCGAGCGAACAGACGAGGAGCUUGCUCCUUUGACGUUAGCGGCGGACGGGUGAGUAACACGUGGAUAACCUACCUAUAAGACUGGGAUAACUUCGGGAAACCGGAGCUAAUACCGGAUAACAUGUUGAACCGCAUGGUUCAACAGUGAAAGACGGUCUUGCUGUCACUUAUAGAUGGAUCCGCGCCGCAUUAGCUAGUUGGUAAGGUAACGGCUUACCAAGGCGACGAUGCGUAGCCGACCUGAGAGGGUGAUCGGCCACACUGGAACUGAGACACGGUCCAGACUCCUACGGGAGGCAGCAGUAGGGAAUCUUCCGCAAUGGGCGAAAGCCUGACGGAGCAACGCCGCGUGAGUGAAGAAGGUCUUCGGAUCGUAAAACUCUGUUAUUAGGGAAGAACAAAUGUGUAAGUAACUAUGCACGUCUUGACGGUACCUAAUCAGAAAGCCACGGCUAACUACGUG